This is an RNA transcript of Lolium rigidum, 3901 nucleotides long. RefSeq lists it as uncharacterized. The transcript has 6 exons. The record is from RefSeq and is a predicted model, not a curated record. NCBI's taxonomy places the organism in Eukaryota, Viridiplantae, Streptophyta, Magnoliopsida, Poales, Poaceae.
CGCUCACGCCAUCUCUCCUUUCGCCAACAGCACCAAUUUCUUUCUCUCCCGAUAGCACGCUGCCGCCGGCCGCUCCAUCGAUCGCCUCCCGGCACAAGCGGCCACUCCGUCGUAUCUCCUCAGUGCCUCAUCUUCCUAUCUCCCCUCACUCCUCCACCGAUCCCCACCUAUGCAGACCCGCACCCCCUAUCCAUCCUCACUAGAGCUUGUGCAGCCCCAUCCAACUAGGUUAUAGCAAUGUGAAAGUUGGCGAUGGAUCGAGGCCAUUGGCGCUGAACCUUCUGGCGGCGUCUCCGGCAGUCCAGAGGCCUCCGGACGAUGGGGGUGGAGAUUAGCCGCAGCCGCGCUGGGGGCAAACCCUACCGAGGUAGGCGGCCGUGCGGGGGAUUGACCGCAGCGGGUUGUCGCAUCCCCCUCUUCUCUCUCUUACCGUUCUCAUUGCCAACCCCCCUCUUCUCUCUCUUACCGUUCUCAUUGCCAACCCCCCUCUCCCGCGUUCUUGCUUAUGCACCCCACGUUUCCCAUCUCCAUCAGACAUCCACAAAUAGAAGCCGCAAUUUCGUCGACUAGCAACAAGCUCAAGGGCUUGGCAUGUUGCAGGCCAAUUUGUUUCUUAUCUUGACAUUAGAUCAGAACGAAGCCAAAUGUCAGAGAUCUUGUUUCAAUUUGAAAGCCAUGAAUCAAUACAUUGUGCGAAAACUGAACCAAACUCAGUAAGAUGCUUUCUUCAAUUAUGUCUGUAGAACUGUAGAUCCAGCAAUAUUAAGAAGUUUGCAUCUCCGAUUCUUAAUGAAUUUCCGAAGUGCUUCACCUGAUUUAUUAGGGCAUUCUUUUCUGAUGGCAUUAUGAUAUAUGCCGUGUACGUGUCGUCAAUGAUGCAAACAGCGGUGUCACUCGUUUUUUCGCCGAGUCAGCAUCGGGCGACACACCUAGGCCUUAGGCGUCGAUGGCGACGAGGAGCAUGUGUUGGUCGCCGUCGCGACACUCGUGGUAAGCCAGCAGGUAUAGGCCUCCUCCUUCCUCACUUCCUUCCGAUGUGUCCCUGUGCCCCUCCAGCCCUCCAUUUUAACGCACGGUCCUAACCCCAUCUUAUCCAUCUCUCCAAUAUGGAUUGGAUGUAAAAGCAGUUAAGAGACCCUGAAAGAGAUGGUUCAUUUUUUGCACGUCAGGGUGAGUAGGGGGUACUGCAAGGUUUGUGUAGAUUAUUACCCGAAUAGCUUAGUGUGAUUCAGCAAGUAUAGCUACAGUGGCAUGCAGCUGCAGUGCUUGUGAUACAUGUAUUACAAGUUCGUAUUCAGUCCGAAUCUUUGGGGUCAGCGUGCUGGGAUUAUUAUUUUGAAAUCUUUUGGAAGAUGUUCUCAAAUUAGUUGCGUGCGGUGUUAAAUUAUGAUGUGUUUUUGAAAUUUAAUUGCUUUUUAUCUUGUGGUGCUUUUUAGGUGAGUGCUCAUGCCUAGGUUGUGCUCUGCGACAUGAUUAUAUUGGGCUUGAAUUGUGAUGUAUACCAGGUGAGCGGCGAGUACUUGACAUUGUAAUUAUGUAUUAAACUAGACAAUGUCUUAUUUAUUCCUUCUUAGAUAAACAUAUUAACUUGAACUUUUCUUUUACUGCAAGAUUUAAUUAAAUUCAGAGGAAUUUUCCUGAAAUAUCAUGGAUUAUGUGAUUCUUAAAAAUGAAUUAAUAGCACAUAAACUAAAAUAGUCAUCCCAAAUUUACAAAGGCUCUAGGCCUACAAAAAAUGAAUGAUAAAGCACAGGGAGUAUCCGGAAACAUACUCUCUACAUUAUGGCAACUAAUGGCAUAGAUGCCAUUGAGCACUUGCAGGUGUGCAAUGUUCCCUAAACGAAAGAGAAUGCCACAGCAACAUGUCCAGUUAGGCUGGCUAGCUCGCAAUAUGCAUACAGCUCUAUGAGGCCCAUGGCCAGCAUCUUAGCUUGGUACACAAGCAUACAAUACCCAAUUUCUGUUACUAUUAAAUCAGUAAUGAAAACAAUUGCUGCACCUCACAUAUAGAGCAUGCACAAAAAGAUCACAUACUCCAAAAAUAAUCUUCACAUGGAUAUACACAUUUGGUUUUAAGUAACCUCUUACAUCAUAUGAGUACACAUCAAGAUAAAAGUCAUUAUAAGAUGCAAUGAACUGCGUAUGCGAUGAAUGGAGUAAAUAUUAUCUUGUAUCAAUUUGUAAUGAAAGAUGAGCUGCUAAGUGGAGUUUUAACUUUCUUUUGUCAAUCAUUGUCCUGUUUUCUUUUGGUUUAGGAUGCAUAAGUGAUGUUCUCUUAGCAUAUUUUCUCUUAUCCCUACAAUGUUAUAGAAGGUUGUGUGUUCUUGAAGAUUGUCUUGCAUUAAUUGGCCUUAAGUGCAAGGUACAGUCUACGUGCUAAAAAUAUAACUUAUCAGAUGGCCAAUCAUUAAUUGUUUAUGAAGAGAAGCGUCUGGCUGUAAGUCCAAAGAUGCUAUCUGUUGAUGUUUGCAUUGUACAGCUUAUAAGAAACAAUGCACUUCUAUGCUUGGAGUUGUCAUGUGCUGAUAUAAUUGUUGAUCUUGGAUAAGCUGGGUCCAUUUUCUGCUUAAUUAUGUUUUGUUUCCACUUUUACAACUUGAAUAGAUGCGUUCCAACUAUUUGAUUCUCUAUUAUUUAAUUAAGGAACAACUCUCUGGAGGGUGCAGUGGUAGUUCCUUAGGUUUAAAGUGUUCCUCUGACCUUGACACUUAAGAAACCUAUUUCCAGUAAAAAUACAGGUACAAAAAUGAGAGUCUAGAAAUAAACAUGUAGGAAUAAAACUUAAGCCUAGAUUGGAUAGACAUGAGAGUCUACAAAAAAACAUGGUUGACAGCAGCUAUCCAAGAUUAAAGAUGAUCAGUGAGUUAAGAAACUUCCUUAUCAUUUCUUCCAUUUACAAUAAUUUUUACACGGCACCCACUCUCUUAUCCAAUCCUGCUGCAAGAUUGAGUUUGUGGUGACUUCCAUUUGUAUUUCAACCACGUUGAGAAAUUUCUGUUUGGCUUCCAUGAUCUUUCAUAGUUAAUUGUGUCUCUGAUGUAUUUAAAUAUCUUUUGUAGCAUCCACAUGGUAUGUACUAAUUAAAUUUUGCCCUUUAUGUCGCUGCUCACAGAUCUCACUUGAAGCAUGUAUUCGCUGAUACUGGCCAUAAGACUGCAGCUAUGUAUUUGCACAAUAUGUUACAGCUGCGGUGAAAUUUGAUUCAGAGUUGAGAUGAUUUGUCGCUGGAUUCUUAUACAUGAAGAAUCAAUCCGCUUCAAACGUUAUCAGUAUACUUCAUUCUUUCAAAGUUUUGCACUAUUGCAAAGGAUUAAACCCCUUUAGUUUUAUAUUUUUCUUCUGGUUAGUUCACAAUGAUUUGCUCUAUUCUUUGUUCCGUGACUGUGAUGAUUGAAUGCAUGAGCCCAUGGUUGAUCUAUCCUACCAAUUUAGGGUAUGUCUCAAUGGUCUUUCUGUUCUUAGACUACCCCGUUCAUGCUCAAUCAUGUGAACUGUGGAUGCACAAAUACACACUUUAAUCUAACAAAUCUGAUAAUUGGAAAACUUCCAGAUUGCAUGUUUAGUGUUCAUUUCUGAAGAACUUAUAUAGUUUUUUGAACUUAUAUAGCUGAAUGAUAGAAAGUGCUGCCCGUUAUAUAGUGAAGUAAUUUUAUAGAAUGAUAUACAUGACCUAUGAACUUAUUCCUCGGAGUAGCUUCCCGUUAUUUAAUCUAAAUAUCUGAAUACGCUUCUAAGCUAGAUCUUGAUUUACUUAGUGCUGCCAUUUCCUUUCAACUGAAUUACCUUAACAAAUAUUUAUUGAUGAUUAGGGGAAAUUCAAUUCGGCUCCCGGGUGCGUAUGCUCCCUCUACCAAAAAAACAUAUUUCGAAAUGUCAAAAAAAUUGGAUAAAAAAUUCUGCA